AGUGAACGCUGGCGGUAGGCCUAACACAUGCAAGUCGAACGGCAGCACAGUAAGAGCUUGCUCUUACGGGUGGCGAGUGGCGGACGGGUGAGGAAUACAUCGGAAUCUACUUUUUCGUGGGGGAUAACGUAGGGAAACUUACGCUAAUACCGCAUACGACCUACGGGUGAAAGCAGGGGAUCUUCGGACCUUGCGCGAUUGAAUGAGCCGAUGUCGGAUUAGCUAGUUGGCGGGGUAAAGGCCCACCAAGGCGACGAUCCGUAGCUGGUCUGAGAGGAUGAUCAGCCACACUGGAGCUGAGACACGGUCCAGGCUCCUGCGGGAGGCAGCAGUGGGGAAUAUUGGACAAUGGGCGCAAGCCUGAUCCAGCCAUACCGCGUGGGUGAAGAAGGCCUUCGGGUUGUAAAGCCCUUUUGUUGGGAAAGAAAAGCAGCAGGUUAAUACCCCGCUGUUCUGACGGUACCCAAAGAAUAAGCACCGGCUAACUUCGUG
This 492-nucleotide ribosomal RNA is filed under the name uncultured bacterium. Its description in RNAcentral is "partial 16S ribosomal RNA". It matches the Rfam family "Bacterial small subunit ribosomal RNA", at positions 29 to 507 of the family's 1533-position model. The record is from RNAcentral.